UGGCAGGGUCAUAGGACAAUAGUGGA
This 26-nucleotide non-coding RNA is filed under the name Homo sapiens (human). Lineage: Eukaryota; Metazoa; Chordata; Mammalia; Primates; Hominidae. The record is from RNAcentral.